This 232-nucleotide ribosomal RNA is filed under the name uncultured bacterium. RNAcentral describes it as "partial 16S ribosomal RNA". It matches the Rfam family "Bacterial small subunit ribosomal RNA", at positions 15 to 236 of the family's 1533-position model. The record is from RNAcentral.
GAUAAUGGCUCAGGAUGAACGCUAGCUACAGGCUUAACACAUGCAAGUCGAGGGGAAACGACAUCGAAAGCUUGCUCUUGAUGGGCGUCGACCGGCGCACGGGUGAGUAACGCGUAUCCAACCUGCCCAUCACUUGGGAAUAACCUUGCGAAAGUAAGACUAAUGCCCAAUGAUAUCCCACGAAGGCAUCCGAAUGGGAUUAAAGAUUUAUCGGUGAUGGAUGGGGAUGCGU